CUGAGACAGGUGCUGCAUGGCUGUCGUCAGCUCGUGUUGUGAAAUGUUGGGUUAAGUCCCGCAACGAGCGCAACCCUUAUCCUUGUUUGCCAGCGAGUAAUGUCGGGAACUCCAGGGAGACUGCCGGGGAUAAACCGGAGGAAGGUGGGGACGACGUCAAGUCAUCAUGGCCCUUACGAGUAGGGCUACACACGUGCUACAAUGGCGCAUACAGAGGGC
RNAcentral lists this ribosomal RNA (219 nucleotides) under Vibrio parahaemolyticus. Its description in RNAcentral is "partial 16S ribosomal RNA". It matches the Rfam family "Bacterial small subunit ribosomal RNA", at positions 1029 to 1247 of the family's 1533-position model. The record is from RNAcentral. Lineage: Bacteria; Pseudomonadati; Pseudomonadota; Gammaproteobacteria; Vibrionales; Vibrionaceae.